AACGAAGGCUGGCGGCAUGCCUAACACAUGCAAGUCGAACGAGACCUUCGGGUCUAGUGGCGCACGGGUGCGUAACGCGUGGGAACCUGCCCUUAGGUUCGGAAUAACUCCCCGAAAGGGGUGCUAAUACCGGAUAAUGUCUUCGGACCAAAGAUUUAUCGCCUUUGGAUGGGCCCGCGUUGGAUUAGCUAGUUGGUAGGGUAAAAGCCUACCAAGGCGACGAUCCAUAGCUGGUCUGAGAGGAUGAUCAGCCACACUGGGACUGAGACACGGCCCAGACUCCUACGGGAAGCAGCAGUGGGGAAUAUUGGACAAUGGGCGAAAGCCUGAUCCAGCAAUGCCGCGUGAGCGAUGAAGGCCUUAGGGUUGUAAAGCUCUUUUACCCGGGAUGAUAAUGACAGUACCGGGAGAAUAAGCUCCGGCUAACUCCGUG
Molecule: ribosomal RNA, 433 nt
Filed under: uncultured bacterium
Lineage: Bacteria
Description: partial 16S ribosomal RNA
Rfam family: Bacterial small subunit ribosomal RNA
Source: RNAcentral